This 209-nucleotide ribosomal RNA is filed under the name Centrodora sp. D2293. Its description in RNAcentral is "partial 28S ribosomal RNA". It matches the Rfam family "Eukaryotic large subunit ribosomal RNA", at positions 967 to 1163 of the family's 3401-position model. Lineage: Eukaryota; Metazoa; Arthropoda; Insecta; Hymenoptera; Aphelinidae. The record is from RNAcentral.
UUUCCCUCAGGAUAGCUGGCACUCGUUUGAGCGAGUCUCAUCUGGUAAAGCGAAUGAUUAGAGGCCUUGGGGCCGAAACGACCUCAACCUAUUCUCAAACUUUAAAUGGGUGAGAACUCUGGCUUGCUUAAAUUAUGAAGCCACGAGAUUUUCAUUGGAUCAGAGUGCCAAGUGGGCCAAUUUUGGUAAGCAGAACUGGCGCUGUGGGA